CUCGGCGUGGGCCUCGGCGAGCCCGAGCCUGCCGCGCGCGAGCUCGUCAGCGGCCUGAUACUCCAGGUUCCACGCCAGCGCGCCGAGU
This 88-nucleotide transfer RNA is filed under the name Nonomuraea coxensis DSM 45129. RNAcentral describes it as "tRNA-Gly". Lineage: Bacteria; Bacillati; Actinomycetota; Actinomycetes; Streptosporangiales; Streptosporangiaceae. The record is from RNAcentral.